Molecule: ribosomal RNA, 484 nt
Filed under: uncultured bacterium
Lineage: Bacteria
Description: bacterial SSU rRNA
Rfam family: Bacterial small subunit ribosomal RNA
Source: RNAcentral
GACGAACGCUGGCGGCGUGCUUAACACAUGCAAGUCGAACGAGAAUCUGCGGAAAGAGGAUUCGUCCAAUUGAAGCAGAGGACAGUGGCGGACGGGUGAGUAACGCGUGAGGAACCUGCCUUUCAGAGGGGGACAACAGAUGGAAACGACUGCUAAUACCGCAUGACACAUCGGAGUCGCAUGGCUCUGAUGUCAAAGAUUUAUCGCUGAAAGAUGGCCUCGCGUCUGAUUAGCUAGUUGGUGAGGUAACGGCCACCAAGGCGACGAUUGGUAGCCGGACUGAGAGGUUGAACGGCCACAUUGGGACUGAGACACGGCCCAGACUCCUAUGGGAGGCAGCAGUGGGGGAUAUUGCACAAUGGGGGGAAACCCUGAUGCAGCGACGCCGCGUGGAGGAAGAAGGUUUUCGGAUUGUAAACUCCUGUCGUUAGGGACGAUAAUGACGGUACCUAACAAGAAAGCACCGGCUAACUACGUGCCAGCA